Molecule: unclassified non-coding RNA, 318 nt
Filed under: uncultured fungus
Lineage: Eukaryota; Fungi
Description: partial contains small subunit ribosomal RNA, internal transcribed spacer 1, and 5.8S ribosomal RNA
Rfam family: Eukaryotic small subunit ribosomal RNA (bases 1-73)
Source: RNAcentral
GCAAACUUGGUCAUUUAGAGGAAGUAAAAGUCGUAACAAGGUUUCCGUAGGUGAACCUGCGGAAGGAUCAUUACCGAGUCUCUGGGGCCUCUAUGGCCCCGAACUCCCACCCUUUUGUUAACCGACCUCUGUUGCCUCGGCGGGCCCGCGGGCCUCUCGAAAGAGGGCCUGCCGCCGGCCUCCCUAGUGAGGCGGGCCCGCGCCCGUCCGAGGACCAACCCAACUCUGUAUUUAACCAGUCUGUCUGAGUAAAAACAAUAAUAUAUUAAAACUUUCAACAACGGAUCUCUUGGUUCUGGCAUCGAUGAAGAACGCAGC